This 1022-nucleotide ribosomal RNA is filed under the name Cladonia sp. NIOCC 21V. RNAcentral's name for it is "SSU rRNA". It matches the Rfam family "Eukaryotic small subunit ribosomal RNA", at positions 74 to 1106 of the family's 1831-position model. Lineage: Eukaryota; Fungi; Ascomycota; Lecanoromycetes; Lecanorales; Cladoniaceae. The record is from RNAcentral.
UUAUACAGCGAAACUGCGAAUGGCUCAUUAAAUCAGUUAUCGUUUAUUUGAUAGUGCCCAUCUACAUGGAUAACCGUGGUAAUUCUAGAGCUAAUACAUGCGUAAAAGCGCGACUUCGGGAGCGCUGUAUUUAUUAGAUUAAAGACCAAUGCCCUCCGGGGCUCACUGGUGAUUCAUGAUAACUCCUCUGAUCGCACGGCCUUGCGCCGGCGACGGCUCAUUCAAAUUUCUGCCCUAUCAACUUUCGACUUUAGUGUAGUGGACUAAAGUGGUUGCAACGGGUAACGGAGGGUUAGGGCUCGACCCCGGAGAAGGAGCCUGAGAAACGGCUACUACAUCCAAGGAAGGCAGCAGGCGCGCAAAUUACCCAAUCCCGACACGGGGAGGUAGUGACAAUAAAUACUGAUACAGGGCUCUUUCGGGUCUUGUAAUCGGAAUGAGUACAAUCUAAAUCCUUUAACGAGGAGCAAUUGGAGGGCAAGUCUGGUGCCAGCAGCCGCGGUAAUUCCAGCUCCAAUAGCGUAUAUUAAAGUUGUUGUGGUUAAAAAGCUCGUAGUUGAACCUGGGCCCCGUCCCGGCCGGUCCGCCUCACCGCGUGCACUGGUUCGGGAGGGGCUUCGCACCUUGGGGGUACGCAUGCCCUUCGCUGGGCGUGCGGGGAACCAGGACUUUUACUGUGAAAAAAUUAGAGUGUUCAAAGCAGGCCUAUGCUCGAAUACAUUAGCAUGGAAUAAUAAAAUAGGACGUGCGGUUCUAUUUUGUUGGUUAUGGGACCGCCGUAAUGAUUAAUAGGGACAGUCGGGGGCGUCAGUAUUCGGUGGUCAGAGGUGAAAUUCUUGGACCCACCGAAGACUAACUACUGCGAAAGCAUUCGCCAAGGAUGUUUUCAUUAAUCAGGAACGAAAGUUAGGGGAUCGAAAACGAUCAGAUACCGUUGUAGUCUUAACCAUAAACUAUGCCGACUAGGGAUCGGGCGAUGUUGCUUACUGACUCGCUCGGCACCUUUCGAGAAAUCAAAGUCU